CCCAUUCCAGAUGGAAAUGAAAGGUCUUUGUAGAGAGUUCAGGAUGAUCAUCUUAUGGCUAAAUAUAAACUCUAUUUAAGCCUCGAUUUUUCCUGAGAUUUCUUCCACUGCAACCAGAAGUGAAGCCUUCUUAGCCCAUGAAAGGCCUCACUCACAUCAAUGGCUUUUCUGAUGGUCCUAGAGAAAGUUUGGCCUGUUUGUGUCUUGAGAUGUCUAACAUAUGAACAUUUUUCUUGCAUUUUAUUGAGGACUAGAGCACUCUCAGACUUUUCAAAGCUUCCAAUGAUGUCUUCUCCCAACUCUCCAAAGGUGAAAGAAAAUGUAAUAACUUUGCACAAAGGACCUGAGGACAAAGGUAAAUGACAACUCCGUUCUUAAAUACAAACAAAAAGCAAACCCCUUUUCUUCCCAAAUUUCAACCAAAUGCCCACUUCAGUGACAUGGCACUGAAUACUGGUGCCCUCCACAGGACAAAAACAAAAUCAACAGGAUAUUGCCGAUCACUGUGCAGCAUGCUCUGACAGGACUUCUCUGUUUCGAUUGAUGAAUUGUCUCCCCUAAGUAAAAGGAGAAAGCACAAUGUAUUCUUUCUAAUCCAUCAUGACAUUUUGGAUCAAGAUUACCAUUGGUCUCACAAUUAUGUAUAUGAGAUUUAAUUUGUGGAAUAUGCUGGGCUUAUACAGCAUAUUGGGUCCUGGGAAAUAUGAAUUUGUGCAAUAGGAUUUUAGGCACUGGAGGCUUUAUGGGGUUUAUGAAGCAGUUGUUAGAUAAGCUUGAGGCAUCACUGACUUUUUCACUUCUGUCUUGCCCUGGUGCAGAUUGAAAGCUAGGCCUGGUUACUAAUUCCGUUGUAUCCUCUGCUGGCCAGGAACUGCUCCAAGAAGACAGGGUAAAAAGUUGUUACCCUUGAAAGGGAGAUCUGCAACUGUCACCUGGAUCUCCUUGGGGAAUCCCAGUGCCUACAGUCAAGAGGCCCACCUCAUGACCACCCAGAACCUGCCUCAGAAAAAUCCUCCAUAUCUUUUGGCCCAGAACAAUCUCAAACCAAGAUCUAUUGACACAAUGCAGCCAAGAGGAUAUGAGCACUAUCAUUACCAGGAGGCGCUGGAGAUGGAUUGGCCAUGUGCUUCGGAUGGAAACUGAUUCCAUCAUCAGAGUAGCAAUAAGAUGGACAUCUGAAGGCAAGCGAAAAUGAGGCCACCCGAAAACAACAUGGCAAAGAGCUGUGGAA
Chrysemys picta bellii (western painted turtle) is the source of this 1231-nucleotide long non-coding RNA. RefSeq lists it as uncharacterized. The record is from RefSeq and is a predicted model, not a curated record. NCBI's taxonomy places the organism in Eukaryota, Metazoa, Chordata, Testudines, Emydidae.